AGUUCCGUAGUGUAGUGUUUAUGUUGUUCGCUUCACACGCGAAAAGUCUCCGGUUUAAUCCCGGGCGGAACCA
Molecule: non-coding RNA, 73 nt
Organism: Trichonephila clavipes
Lineage: Eukaryota; Metazoa; Arthropoda; Arachnida; Araneae; Nephilidae
Source: the annotation of a GenBank genome assembly